AUGCUGGAGAAUUCAUUUCUAAUAGAUACUCGAAUGAAAAAAUUCGAUACCAUAGUCCCCGCUACUCUCCUCAUAGGAUACUUAUCAAAAGCUCAAUUUUGUACUGGCCAUUGGUAG
RNAcentral lists this ribosomal RNA (117 nucleotides) under Triticum aestivum (bread wheat). Its description in RNAcentral is "partial small subunit ribosomal RNA". The record is from RNAcentral. Lineage: Eukaryota; Viridiplantae; Streptophyta; Magnoliopsida; Poales; Poaceae.